GGAGGGUGCGAGCGUUAUUCGGAUUUACUGGGCGUAAAGGGCACGUAGGCGGUUUGGUUAGUCUGAUGUGAAAUCCCUUGACUCAAUCGAGGAAGUGCAUUGGAUACUGCCAGACUGGAGUGCAGGAGAGGUGAGCGGAAUUCCUGGUGUAGAGGUGAAAUUCGUAGAUAUCAGGAGGAACAACGGUGGCGAAGGCGGCUCACUGGACUGUAACUGACGCUGAGGUGCGAAAGCGUGGGGGGAGCAAACAGGAUUAGAUACCCUGGUAGUCCACGCUGUAAACGAUGGAUACUAGAUGUCGGGAGCUCUUGCCCUCUCGGUGUCGCAGUUAACGCAUUAAGUAUCCCGCCUGGGGACUACGGCCGCAAGGCUA
RNAcentral lists this ribosomal RNA (373 nucleotides) under uncultured organism. RNAcentral describes it as "partial 16S ribosomal RNA". It matches the Rfam family "Bacterial small subunit ribosomal RNA", at positions 527 to 896 of the family's 1533-position model. The record is from RNAcentral.